AUAGGCUUAAACACAUGCAAGUCGAGGGGCAGCAUAUAGAUUGCUUGCAAUUUAUGAUGGCGACCGGCGCACGGGUGAGUAACGCGUAUCCACCUACCCAUUACUAGGGAAUAACCCAGCGAAAGUUGGCCUAAUGCCCUAUGUAGUCGUUUGAUCGCCUGAGAUUUCGACGAAAGAUUUAUCGGUAUUGGAUGGGGAUGCGUCUGAUUAGCUUGUUGGCGGUAAGGCCACCAAGGCAACGAUCAGUAGGGGUUCUGAGAGGAAGGUCCCCCACAUUGGAACUGAGACACGGUCCAAACUCCUACGGGAGGCAGCAGUGAGGAAUAUUGGUCAAUGGGCGAGAGCCUGAACCAGCCAAGUAGCGUGCAGGAUGACGGCCCUAUGGGUUGUAAACUGCUUUUAUAUGGGAAUAAAGUGAGGGACGUGUCCCUUAUUGCAUGUACCAUACGAAUAAGGACCGGCUAAUUCCGUGCCAGCAGCCGCGGUAAAU
This 490-nucleotide ribosomal RNA is filed under the name uncultured Prevotella sp. RNAcentral's name for it is "bacterial SSU rRNA". It matches the Rfam family "Bacterial small subunit ribosomal RNA", at positions 42 to 525 of the family's 1533-position model. Lineage: Bacteria; Pseudomonadati; Bacteroidota; Bacteroidia; Bacteroidales; Prevotellaceae. The record is from RNAcentral.